This 465-nucleotide ribosomal RNA is filed under the name uncultured bacterium. RNAcentral's name for it is "partial 16S ribosomal RNA". It matches the Rfam family "Bacterial small subunit ribosomal RNA", at positions 28 to 506 of the family's 1533-position model. The record is from RNAcentral.
GGCGAACGCUGGCGGCGCGCCUAACACAUGCAAGUCGAACGAGCGAGAGAGAGCUUGCUUUCUCGAGCGAGUGGCGAACGGGUGAGUAACGCGUGAGGAACCUGCCUCAAAGAGGGGGACAACAGUUGGAAACGACUGCUAAUACCGCAUAAGCCCACGGGUCGGCAUCGACCAGAGGGAAAAGGAGCAAUCCGCUUUGAGAUGGCCUCGCGUCCGAUUAGCUAGUUGGUGAGGUAAUGGCCCACCAAGGCGACGAUCGGUAGCCGGACUGAGAGGUUGAACGGCCACAUUGGGACUGGGACCGGGCCCAGACUCCUACGGGGGGCAGGAGGGGGGAAUAUUGCAAAAGGGGGGAAACCCUGAUGCAGCGACGCCGGGUGGAGGAAGAAGGUUUUCGGAUUGUAAACCCCUGUUGUGGGGAAAGAUAAUGACGGUACCAAAAAAGGAAGUGACGGCUAACUACGU